RNAcentral lists this ribosomal RNA (373 nucleotides) under uncultured bacterium. RNAcentral describes it as "bacterial SSU rRNA". It matches the Rfam family "Bacterial small subunit ribosomal RNA", at positions 525 to 896 of the family's 1533-position model. The record is from RNAcentral.
ACGUAGGAGGCGAGCGUUAUCCGGAUUUACUGGGCGUAAAGCGCGUGUAGGCGGACGAGCAAGUUGGAUGUGAAAGCUCCUGGCUUAACUGGGAGAGGUCGUUCAAAACUGCCCGUCUUGAGUACAGUAGAGGGAAGUGGAAUUCCGGGUGUAGUGGUGAAAUGCGUAGAUAUCCGGAGGAACACCAGUGGCGAAAGCGGCUUCCUGGACUGGUACUGACGCUCAGACGCGAAAGCUAGGGUAGCAAACGGGAUUAGAGACCCCGGUAGUCCUAGCUGUAAACGAUGUAGACUUGGCGUAGGAGGGUUUAAAUCCUUCUGUGCCGCAGCUAACGCGAUAAGUCUACCGCCUGGGGACUACGGCCGCAAGGUUA